Molecule: ribosomal RNA, 429 nt
Filed under: Diacritus aciculatus
Lineage: Eukaryota; Metazoa; Arthropoda; Insecta; Hymenoptera; Ichneumonidae
Description: partial 16S ribosomal RNA
Source: RNAcentral
GUCUUUAAGAUUAUAAUUUAAAGUCUAAUCUGCUCAAUGAAUAUUAAAUGGCCGCGGUAAUUUGACCGUGCAAAGGUAGCAUAAUCAAUAGUUUUUUAAUUGAAAGCUGGAAUGAAAGAUUGAAUAAGAUAUUAGCUGUCUUAAAUUUAUUAAUAUAAUUUUUUUUAUUAAUAAAAAAAUUAAUAUGAAUUUAAAAGACGAGAAGACCCUAUAGAUUUUUAUUUAAUAAAUUUAAUAUGAUAAUAUAUUUUAAAAAUAUUAUUAAAUUUGUUAAAUUUGAUUGGGGAGAUUAAUAAAUUUAAUUAACUUUAUAAAUUUUUAACAUAAAUUAAUGGUUAUUAGAUCUUAAAUUUUAGAUUAAGAGGUUAAAAUACCUUAGGGAUAACAGCGUAAUUUUAUUAAAUAGAUCAUAUUGAUAAUAGGGAUUGC